AUACGGGAGGCAGCAGUAAGGAAUUUUGGACAAUGGGCGAAAGCCUGAUCCAGCCAUUCCGCGUGCAGGAUGAAGGCCUUCGGGUUGUAAACUGCUUUUGUACGGAACGAAACGGUUCUCUCUAAUACAGGGGGCUAAUGACGGUACCGUAAGAAUAAGCACCGGCUAACUACGUGCCAGCAGCCGCGGUAAUACGUAGGGUGCAAGCGUUAAUCGGAAUUACUGGGCGUAAAGCGUGCGCAGGCGGUGAUGUAAGACAGAUGUGAAAUCCCCGGGCUCAACCUGGGAACUGCAUUUGUGACUGCAUCGCUAGAGUACGGCAGAGGGGGAUGGAAUUCCGCGUGUAGCAGUGAAAUGCGUAGAUAUGCGGAGGAACACCGAUGGCGAGGGCAAUCCCCUGGGCCUGUACUGACGCUCAUGCACGAAAGCGUGGGGAGCAAACAGGAUUAGAUACCCCCGU
RNAcentral lists this ribosomal RNA (460 nucleotides) under uncultured bacterium. Its description in RNAcentral is "bacterial SSU rRNA". It matches the Rfam family "Bacterial small subunit ribosomal RNA", at positions 339 to 791 of the family's 1533-position model. The record is from RNAcentral.